CAAUCGGAUUACUGGGGCGUAAAAGCGUGCGUAGGCGGCUCGAUUAAGUCGGGAUGUGAAAUCCCUGAGCCUUAACUUAGGAAUUGCAUUCGAUACUGGUCAGCUAGAGUAUGGGAGAGGAUGGUAGAAUUCCAGGUGUACGGUGAAAUGCGUAGAGAUCUGGAGGAAUACCGAUGGCGAAGGCAGCCAUCUGGCCUAAUACCUGACGCUGAGGUACGAAAGCAUGGGGAGCAAACAGGAUUAGAUACCCUGGUAGUCCAUGCCGUAAACGAUGUCUACUAGCCGUUGGGGCCUUUGAGGCUUUAGUGGCGCAGCUAACGCGAUAAGUAGACCGCCUGGGGAGUACGGUCGCAAGACUAAAACUCAAAUGAAUUGACGGGGGCCCGCACAAGCGGUGGAGCAUGUGGUUUAAUUCGAUGCAACGCGAAGAACCUUACCUGGCCUUGACAUAGUAGAAACUUUCCAGAGAUGGAUUGGUGCCUUCGGGAAUCUACAUACAGGUGCUGCAUGGCUGUCGUCAGCUCGUGUCGUGAGAUGUUGGGUUAAGUCCCGCAACGAGCGCAACCCUUUUCCUUACUUGCCAGCAUUUCGGAUGGGAACUUUAAGGAUACUGCCAGUGACAAACUGGAGGAAGGCGGGGACGACGUCAAGUCAUCAUGGCCCUUACGGCCAGGGCUACACACGUGCUACAAUGGUCGGUACAAAGGGUUGCUACCUAGCGAUAGGAUGCUAAUCUCAAAAAGCCGAUCGUAGUCCGGAUUGGAGUCUGCAACUCGACUCCAUGAAGUCGGAAUCGCUAGUAAUCG
RNAcentral lists this ribosomal RNA (806 nucleotides) under uncultured bacterium. Its description in RNAcentral is "bacterial SSU rRNA". It matches the Rfam family "Bacterial small subunit ribosomal RNA", at positions 542 to 1344 of the family's 1533-position model. The record is from RNAcentral.